CAAAUUGUCUUCUCCGAGCGAAUUUUAUGACCGAAUUGUCUUGUACGAGCGAAUUGUCUGACAGACACAUACACAUGCAUGUGCCCUAUUUAUUACAUAAAAAUUAUAGAACCCCUAAGAUAAUCAUGCCGUCGAAACCUUCGACCGGACUAAAUCCAAACCACUAAAACUUCAAUCUUGCAUGCCGCAUGAAUUCUUCAGGCGCCUUUUCCUUGCGAUUUCGCGAAUUUUGUUCUUCACACACUCCAUCUAGUUUGAAGGUGACACAAUCAACUCUGUGACGAAACGUCUUCUCCUUGCGUCAACGGUGGCCUGCAAAAAAUGACAUAAAGGUUACAUGAACUGAAGUUGCUACACCACCAUAGUAGCUAGUCUACAAACGAAAAAUAACAACAUACCUGUGUAAAUUUGCGGGUGAUUCGGUCCCCGUCCCAAUGUUCUAGACAUUCUGUGACAAAAAGGCCACAAGAGUUCCUGGUACAUAUGCAAACAUUAGCGGUG
RNAcentral lists this long non-coding RNA (501 nucleotides) under Triticum aestivum (bread wheat). RNAcentral describes it as "long non-coding RNA (TAES_LNC020218)". The record is from RNAcentral. Lineage: Eukaryota; Viridiplantae; Streptophyta; Magnoliopsida; Poales; Poaceae.